This 253-nucleotide ribosomal RNA is filed under the name uncultured bacterium. RNAcentral's name for it is "partial 16S ribosomal RNA". It matches the Rfam family "Bacterial small subunit ribosomal RNA", at positions 524 to 776 of the family's 1533-position model. The record is from RNAcentral.
UACGUAGGCAGCGAGCGUUGUUCGGAGUUACUGGGCGUAAAGGGUGUGUAGGCGGUUUUCUAAGUUUGGUGUGAAAUCUCCCGGCUCAACCGGGAGGGUGCGCCGAAAACUGGGAGACUAGAGUGCGGGAUGGGAUAGUAGAAUUCCUGGUGUAGCGGUGAAAUGCGUAGAUAUCAGGAGGAAUACCGGUGGUGUAGACGGCUCUCUGGACCGCCACUGACACUGAGACACGAAAGCGUGGGUAGCAAACAGG